UCAGCUGUCUCCCAUUUCAUAACUAGCUGCAAAGGAAUAUUCUGUAUAAGCAGACCUACUUCUUCCCACAUCUAUGGUUAACAAGCAAAUGAACCUAUAUAUCCACAUCUCCAAAGGGAAAGUUUUUUUUCCCAUGUGAAAUCUGAUAUCCCAGAUUUUGAACUACAGCUUCACUGAAGCUAGAGGAGAAGUUUUAGGAGGAUGAUGAAAUAUUUAUUCCAGGUUCAGACUUUAAAGUAUGAGUUAUGGUUUCUGGAGUGUCCAGGGAUACUUUGUGAUGCACCUGAAUCAGUCCUGAUGCUCUGGGCUCCCUCCAAAUUGUCAAACUCUUUCCCACAGAGCAGUGCUGAGCACCAGACACAGUCCUCCUGCUGGAGCCUCCACCCUGUCAGGUUCAGUGAAGAAUUCCCCCUGGGGCCCUAGAGUGACACUGGGACUGCUGAAUCUUUACAGCCAUUAAACAUCACUGUCUGGAAGGAUCUGUUAAAACAUCAUGGGAAGGCAUCCUGGCUCUUCUGGGAGAGCAAAGCCCUGGGAACCUUCGGGAGCACCAUCUCCUCCUUGGAGGCAGCACCGACUCAGGAUUGUGUUUUCCAAGGUUAUCAUGUGCCAUCCAGCUCAGUCAGGAUAAAAUAAUAAAUUAAGCAAACAAACCUACCUCAAAAAACAAACAAACAAAACCCCUACCAAAUCAAAGUACUUUUGUGACAAGAAAGAAGCAGAGUCCAAAGGGUUAGAAACACACAGUCCCCACCAGCCAGGGAGCAUCAGCUGGGCUGCCCAAAUAGCUGCAAUUAACCUCCUGCUGAGACUGGUGUGGAUCACCUCCCCUGUGCUGCCUCCACAGCCUCCCCCAGACUGCAUUUUCUACUUGGGUUGUAAAUGUUUGAGAGGCUGCUGUUCAGUGGUAUUUAGACUGUGCCCAGCAUGAUGGGACCCAGGAGCUUUCAUCAAGUCCUGGUGGCCAACUUGACCACAGGAAGGUUGGGGGUUGCAUGCACUGAUCCUGCAUCAGCCAGCAGCUGGACAUUCAGGUUCUGGAACAGUUCUUGCUCUUUGUGUUU
Non-coding RNA from Cyanistes caeruleus (blue tit), 1064 nucleotides. NCBI's taxonomy places the organism in Eukaryota, Metazoa, Chordata, Aves, Passeriformes, Paridae. The record is from RefSeq and is a predicted model, not a curated record.